RNAcentral lists this ribosomal RNA (444 nucleotides) under uncultured bacterium. RNAcentral describes it as "partial 16S ribosomal RNA". It matches the Rfam family "Bacterial small subunit ribosomal RNA", at positions 354 to 796 of the family's 1533-position model. The record is from RNAcentral.
GUGGGGAAUUUUGGACAAUGGGCGCAAGCCUGAUCCAGCAAUGCCGCGUGCAGGAAGAAGGCCUUCGGGUUGUAAACUGCUUUUAACCGGGAAGAAACCCCAGGACGUGUCCUGGGUUGACGGUACCGGAGGAAUAAGCACCGGCUAACUUCGUGCCAGCAGCCGCGGUAAUACGAAGGGUGCAAGCGUUAUCCGGAUUCAUUGGGUUUAAAGGGUGCGUAGGCGGAGCGUUAAGUCAGUGGUGAAAUCCUGCAGCUUAACUGUAGACUUGCCAUUGAUACUGGCGCUCUUGAGUGCGCUUGAAGUGGGCGGAAUGUGCCGUGUAGCGGUGAAAUGCUUAGAUAUGGCACAGAACACCAAUUGCGAAGGCAGCUCACUAAGGCGAUACUGACGCUGAGGCACGAAAGCGUGGGGAUCGAACAGGAUUAGAAACCCGGGUAGUCC